AUGCAAGUAGAACGCUGAAGGAGGAGCUUGCUUCUCUGGAUGAGUUGCGAACGGGUGAGUAACGCGUAGGUAACCUGCCUGGUAGCGGGGGAUAACUAUUGGAAACGAUAGCUAAUACCGCAUAAGAGUAGAUGUUGCAUGACAUUUGCUUAAAAGGUGCAAUUGCAUCACUACCAGAUGGACCUGCGUUGUAUUAGCUAGUUGGUGGGGUAACGGCUCACCAAGGCGACGAUACAUAGCCGACCUGAGAGGGUGAUCGGCCACACUGGGACUGAGACACGGCCCAGACUCCGACGGGAGGCAGCAGUAGGGAAUCUUCGGCAAUGGACGGAAGUUUGACCGAGCAACGCCGCGUGAGUGAAGAAGGUUUUCGGAUCGUAAAGCUCUGUUGUAAGAGAAGAACGAGUGUGAGAGUGGAAAGUUCACACUGUGACGGUAUCUUACCAGAAAGGGACGGCUAACUACGUGCCAGCAGCCGCGGUAAUACGUAGGUCCCGAGCGUUGUCCGGAUUUAUUGGGCGUAAAGCGAGCGCAGGCGGUUAGAUAAGUCUGAAGUUAAAGGCUGUGGCUUAACCAUAGUACGCUUUGGAAACUGUUUAACUUGAGUGCAAGAGGGGAGAGUGGAAUUCCAUGUGUAGCGGUGAAAUGCGUAGAUAUAUGGAGGAACACCGGUGGCGAAAGCGGCUCUCUGGCUUGUAACUGACGCUGAGGCUCGAAAGCGUGGGGAGCAAACAGGAUUAGAUACCCUGGUAGUCCACGCCGUAAACGAUGAGUGCUAGGUGUUAGACCCUUUCCGGGGUUUAGUGCCGCAGCUAACGCAUUAAGCACUCCGCCUGGGGAGUACGACCGCAAGGUUGAAACUCAAAGGAAUUGACGGGGGCCCGCACAA
This 889-nucleotide ribosomal RNA is filed under the name uncultured bacterium. RNAcentral's name for it is "bacterial SSU rRNA". It matches the Rfam family "Bacterial small subunit ribosomal RNA", at positions 55 to 928 of the family's 1533-position model. The record is from RNAcentral.